ACAACAGCUUUGAUCAGGAGUAUUAUUGAAAUAAACUUUAGAGAGAGUACAGUCGCUGAAAAGUACUUAGUUGAAUUCUUUAAUUGUUACCUGUGAGCUAUCAAAAUUGAUCGGGCCACCGUUAUCUGUUGAGAGAGGAGUCUUUGACUCCUAAUUUAGGUGGUACCGCGAGCAUUCGUCCUAUUC
This 186-nucleotide non-coding RNA is filed under the name Companilactobacillus tucceti. RNAcentral describes it as "Lactobacillus tucceti T-box sequence". It matches the Rfam family "T-box leader". Rfam says of the family: Uncharged tRNA acts as the effector for transcription antitermination of genes in the T-box leader family. T-boxes are found upstream of many aminoacyl-tRNA synthetase genes and some amino acid biosynthetic genes usually in Gram-positive bacteria. The record is from RNAcentral. Lineage: Bacteria; Bacillati; Bacillota; Bacilli; Lactobacillales; Lactobacillaceae.